Long non-coding RNA from Hemibagrus wyckioides, 3437 nucleotides. RefSeq lists it as uncharacterized. Lineage: Eukaryota; Metazoa; Chordata; Actinopteri; Siluriformes; Bagridae. The transcript has 3 exons. The record is from RefSeq and is a predicted model, not a curated record.
UAGUGUUUGAACCCGUCUUGAGCAAGCGAGAAGAUUUAAUUAAUACGCUUAAAGCUUCUUAUAUGUUUGGCUAUUGUAGUAUCGUGUCAAACCUCCUGUUAUUAUGCUAGUGUAUCACUGUACAAUAUUUAGCAUCAUAGCAUGGCGUUAUUGUUGCUCAAACAGCAGAGUAGUGCGCUAGCAGCACUAAGCUCAUGUGUUCAGUUUCAUCAUAAUGAAAUGUAUACCUUUAAAGUAAUGUAAUUCGCUUUGUGUUUACUAGAUAGAAUAUUUGGAAGUGGUUUUGUAUUUCUAUUAACCCAGACUCUUAAUCACUCUUAUAACAAUCGUCUCUUUCAGAGUCAAAAAACUGUCAACUCAAAAUAACUCGUUAAAUUUUAAUUUAUUUCUAGACUCUUUAUUUCUGUGCUAGAAAUAGAUCAACUUCAUUAUGGAGUUGCAUGCCACCAUAAAAGCUUCAGAAGGAUUUAGGGUUAUUAGAUGUAAUACAUUGUAGGGUGAUGCUAUAAAUGUAAUUAAAAAACAUUUAUUUGACAAUUUGCUGCACAUAGUUUAAAACUAAUAAGUACAGAUCUUGUUCAAUGUCUCGGGAUGGGGAGUUUGGUUCAAUGGCUGUCCUAAACUGUGCCUGUGACCACAGAAUCCACUCAGUCUCUAUAAGCACAACCCCAGAACUCUGCUCCUCUAGUAAGAAAGCAAUUUCAUCCACACUUGCACAAACAAGUGGGACAUUUAAAAACCAUUUUAGACAUAUUACAACUGAUUCAUUGGAUAAUGAAGGCAUCUAACUAACGUAUACAUUGAUAUUGAUUACAUUUGUGCAGUACAGUUUUUUUGUUACACUAAUCGCCCAUCUUCUCACUUGCUCCACACGGGUUCAAACACUAACUGGCGCAUGUCAGUGACAUCACUUUACUAAUUGGCUAGAGAAGGGCAGUAGGUUGAGAAGCAGUGGACCAAUGGACACUUUUAUCUCACCCCCUAAUCUGCAUAAAACUCUACUUGUGAUUUUUGAAUAACAAACUAGCAUCCUGGAAAGAAUUCAGAAAAGUGAGGGGUGAAUAAACAGAAAAUUAAAUAAUUAAACAAAAAGUAGCAGAAAGAACAAACAUCCAAGUAAACUCAUUGAGGAAGGCAGAGAUAACCAGGUGGUGAUUGCUUCGCUCCCACUUUGGAAUGUCCACCCCUUAUAAAUGAAAUGUCACCUCAUAAAUCUCAGGAAAUCCUGAUCUUCUGGACUGACAUGAAAGUGGUGGAACAUUUUCUCUACAUCGCAGAUAAUAGCAAUCUGAUGCUCAAGAAAUCUACAUAGCACUCCAGUCAGAGCAUUCAUUAAAUCUGGCCCUGUGAGUAGGUGGUCAUUUAGUGAUGUGCCUUUGAAUUUGCCUGAGCAGUGAAAUACCACUUUUAUUUUCUCUGGCUUCCUGGGAUGAUACACCCCAUGGUGUGGAAUAUACCAAACAUUGCCUUUGUUUGGUGCACCAUUCUGCGGGUAAAUUCUGCAUUACCAUCUCUAAAGACACUGUCCAUAAAUUUCACAUAGUCCCCUCUGUAUUUGAGACUUUUCACCAAUUUUCUUUUCAGAUGUUUCAAACGUAGCUGAGGAUGUCUCUGAAAAGUAGGGGCAUCUCCACAUGUCCUCCUUUGUUUUGUUGAAUUUUUCCCUUCAACUGGUGAAGAAAUUGAAUAUCCUCCUGAGAUAUUAUCCUUUCUCUUGGGUUCGUAUCUCUAAAAUCUGCUUCUAAUGUCUUAAUUACAGAGGCAGGUGUGAUACAAACACACACACAUACAUAUAACGGAAUACAAUUUUGAUUUUUUUUUUUUUUAAAUAAAUGAUAAUAUGACUACUCAACUUGAUAAUUCAACUAAAUUAUUUUAUUUUGUUAUUUAAAUAUAUAAUUAUUGUUAACCUGUUAAAGUAGCAUUCUUCUCUGGCUAACUUUAAGGCCCCCUAUUGACCGGCCACCACUGCCCUCACACACAUAUAAGUGUGUCUCCACUUAUAUAGCUUUUCAGAUAGAACCUAUGUGCUGGGUUUAUACAGCUUGUUUCAAUCAAAUCUUUCUGAUCACCUCAACUCUUGUAGUAAAGCUGACUCUAACUAUACUACCAGUCAAAAGGUUGGACAUAUCUUAUUAUUCAAUGUUUUUUCUUUAUUUUUAUUGAUUUCAACAUUGAAUAUAUAUAAUAAAAACACUGAAAUUAUGACAGAACAAUUAUGUAGUCAAUAAAAACAUGUUAAAUUACCUAUAAUAUGUUUUAUAUUUUCGAUUCUUCAAAGUAGCCACCUUUUACUUUGAUGACAGCUUUGCACACUCUUUGCAUUCUCUGAGUCAGCCCAUGAGGUAUGGAAUGGUUUUCUACUUUUCUUGAAGGAGUUCCCAGAGGUGUUGAGUACUUGUUGGCAGCUUUUUCUUCAUUCUCUGGUCAAACUCAUUCCAAACUAUCUCAACUGUAUUUAAAUUUAGUGAUCGGAAGGCAGUGGCAUCUGAUGCAGUAUUCCAUCACUCUCCUUCUUGAACAAAUAGCUCCUACAUAAUCUAGAGCUGUGUUUGGGGUUAUUGUCCUGUUGGAAAACAAAUGAUGGACCCACUAAGUGCAAACCAGAUGGGAUGGCAUGUCACUGCAAAAUGCAGUGGUAGCCAUGCUGGUUAAGUGUGCCCUCAAUUUUGACUAAGUCACAGCAGUGUCACCAGCAAAGCACCCCCACAUCAUCACACCUCCUCAUCCACGCAGUGAUCCAAUUUCCAUUUCUUGUGUUUCUUGGCCUGAACAAGACUCUUCUGCUUGUUGUUUUUCUGAAUUAAUUGUUGUUGGGUUUUUUUUUUUUGCUGCAUUUCAACCAUGAAGGUCUCCUUUGAACAGUGGAUGUUGAAUAUGUCUGACUCUUGAACUCCAAGAGGCGUUUAUGUGGGCUGUAAUCUGAGGUGCUGUAAAUUGGCAGUUCCGAGGCUGGAAAAGUUUAAUAAAAUUAUCAUCUGCAGCAGCUCUUGGCCUUAUUUUCCUGGGACAGCCCUUGUGAGAGGCAGUUUCAUCAUAGUGUUUGAUGGUUUUGGUGACUGCACAUGGGGAUACAAAGUUCUUAAGAUAUUUUAGAUUAACGAACCGCCAUUUCUUAAUGUAAUAAUGGACUGUCUUUUGUCCGUCUUAACUGAAUGUUUCUUGCCAUCAAUAUGGAUUUUACAGCAGUUGUAGCAGCAUUAACAAUGCUGUACCCACACGUACACUGCACAAGACACCUGAUGGUAUAAAGAACAUUAAGAAGCCAAGAAAUGUCACAAAUUAACUCUAGACAAAUGUGAACUGAAAACUGAAAACCAUCAGCUUGGGAAGAUGUUUUCUCUGACAAGCAUAUGUGCCGCUGAACGAUGUAUAGUUUUCAUUGAGUUUUGUCACAUUAAAAUGCAAAGUAUCUAUCUAAAGUAUCAAAGUAUCUA